Long non-coding RNA from Hordeum vulgare subsp. vulgare (domesticated barley), 334 nucleotides. RefSeq lists it as uncharacterized. The transcript is spliced from 3 exons. NCBI's taxonomy places the organism in Eukaryota, Viridiplantae, Streptophyta, Magnoliopsida, Poales, Poaceae. The record is from RefSeq and is a predicted model, not a curated record.
AUGGUUUGGAGACGCUGAGAAGCUCACCAAAGCCCUUUUCUCGUUUGCAAGUCGGCUAGCUCCUGUUAUCAUAUUUGUGGAUGAGGUUGACAGCUUACUUGGUGCAAGGGGUGGUGCAAUGGAACAUGAAGCAACGAGAAGGAUGCGCAAUGAAUUUAUGGCAGCUUGGGAUGGUCUAAGGUCCAAAGAUAGUUAAAGGAUCCUUAUUCUUGGUGCAACAAAUUGUCAGUUCGAUCUAGAUGACGCUGUAAUACGGCGUUUGCCUAGGAGGAUAUACGUCGACCUUCCGGAUGCGCAGAAUAGGAUGAAAAUUCUCAAGAUUUUACUUGCCAAA